UGGACCAAAAAAGUGAUUUUCAAUUUUUUUUUUCUUCAAAUAUCCAUCUUAUGUUUAAACAGACACACAAACAUAUAUACACAAAUAAUAGAGGAAGUUCAACCCAUGGAACUCUAUCAAAUUAAGGAUGGGGUCAUGUGUAGCAGACCAAAACGAUGUCAUUUUGGGAAACCCCAAAACGGUGCUGUUUUAGGUAUGAAAAAAACUAGAGGCGUGUUUGCCUCUGGUCGGGAAAGGUGAAGAGGCAGAGGCGUGUAUGCCUCUGCCACCGGCUGAAAAGGGAGGAGAGGAGACCUGCACACCAAGAAAUAAGGGUCGUGUAAGACUCCUCUAAGCCCUCCCAAUAAAACAUGAAGAGAAAGAAGAAAGAUCGAUGCAGGAAGAGAAAGAGAAAAAGAGAGAGAGAGGGAGAGAGGAAAAUAAAGAGAGAAGGGCUACGGUUACCAUCAGUCAGUAACUGAGAGAGGGUAAGAAGAAGAAGAAUAAAAAAAAGAUGAGGAGAGGUUGGUGCUGCGUUUGGCGGUGCAUAGGAGAAAAAGACGGUCUAUGUGGCGGCAUGGUGCACGUUUUACUAUUUUAUGGCUCCCUCCGGUGUGAUUCCACCAGAUCUGUGCUAAAUCUGAGAGCAUGAGGUGCUUUGCGGUGAAUUUUGGCCAAUCCAAAGUGACAAUCAGCGGCGAGCGGCAGCGAUCGAUGGUGAGCAGCGGUGGCGCGUGGCAGUCCGGUGGUUGCACACAGUGAGUCCUAGGAGCCCAGUUCAGGUAGGUGAGUUCAAAAAAUCCUAAUGG
RNAcentral lists this long non-coding RNA (788 nucleotides) under Carica papaya (papaya). RNAcentral's name for it is "long non-coding RNA (CPAP_LNC008895)". The record is from RNAcentral. Lineage: Eukaryota; Viridiplantae; Streptophyta; Magnoliopsida; Brassicales; Caricaceae.